CUGCGAGUUGUGGUGUCUGGCAAGGUUAAGCAAACGCGAAGCCGUAGCGAAAGCGAGUCUGAAUAGGGCGCUUAGUCAGAUGCUGCAGACCCGAAACGAAGUGAUCUAUCCAUGAGCAAGUUGAAGCUAGUGUAAGAACUAGUGGAGGACUGAACCCAUAGGCGUUGAAAAGCCCCGGGAUGACUUGUGGAUAGGGGUGAAAGGCCAAUCAAACUUCGUGAUAGCUGGUUCUCUCCGAAAUAUAUUUAGGUAUAGCGUUGUGUCGUAAUAUAAGGGGGUAGAGCACUGAAUGGGCUAGGGCAUACACCAAUGUACCAAACCCUAUCAAACUCCGAAUACCUUAUAUGUAAUCACAGCAGUCAGGCGGCGAGUGAUAAAAUCCGUCGUCAAGAGGGAAACAACCCAGACUACCAGCUAAGGUCCCUAAAUCUUACUUAAGUGGAAAACGAUGUGAAGUUACUUAAACAACCAGGAGGUUGGCUUAGAAGCAGCCAUCCUUUAAAGAAAGCGUAAUAGCUCACUGGUCUAGUGAUUUUGCGCGGAAAAUAUAACGGGGCUAAAGUAAGUACCGAAGCUGUAGACUUGCGCACAACUUAGAUUAUUUAAGUUUAGAAUAUGAGAAACUAAGUUAUGUUUAGUUAUAUUUUUACUGAUUUUUAUAGAGUAAAGAUAGAAAUAAAACUUAGUAAAAUCAGUAAAAAUAUUCUUAGGCUAAAGUUAAGUAGUUUAAGUUGUGUGCAAGUGGUAGGAGAGCGUUCUAUUUGCGUCGAAGGUAUACCGGUAAGGAGUGCUGGAGCGAAUAGAAGUGAGCAUGCAGGCAUGAGUAGCGAUAAUUAAUGUGAGAAUCAUUAACGCCGUAAACCCAAGGUUUCCUACGCGAUGCUCGUCAUCGUAGGGUUAGUCGGGUCCUAAGUCGAGUCCGAAAGGGGUAGACGAUGGCAAAUUGGUUAAUAUUCCAAUACCAACAUUAGUGUGCGAUGGAAGGACGCUUAGGGCUAAGGGGGCUAGCGGAUGGAAGUGCUAGUCUAAGGUCGUAGGAGGUUAUACAGGCAAAUCCGUAUAACAAUACUCCGAGAACUGAAAGGCUUUUUGAAGUCUUCGGAUGGAUAGAAGAACCCCUGAUGCCGUCGAGCCAAGAAAAGUUUCUAAGUUUAGCUAAUGUUGCCCGUACCGUAAACCGACACAGGUGGGUGGGAUGAGUAUUCUAAGGCGCGUGGAAGAACUCUCUUUAAGGAACUCUGCAAAAUAGCACCGUAUCUUCGGUAUAAGGUGUGGUUAGCUUUGUAUUAGGAUUUACUCCGAAAGCAAGGAAACUUACAACAAAGAGUCCCUCCCGACUGUUUACCAAAAACACAGCACUCUGCUAACUCGUAAGAGGAUGUAUAGGGUGUGACGCCUGCCCGGUGCUCGAAGGUUAAUUGAUGGGGUUAGCAUUAGCGAAGCUCUUGAUCGAAGCCCGAGUAAACGGCGGCCGUAACUAUAACGGUCCUAAGGUAGCGAAAUUCCUUGUCGGUUAAAUACCGACCUGCAUGAAUGGCGUAACGAGAUGGGAGCUGUCUCAAAGAGGGAUCCAGUGAAAUUGUAGUGGAGGUGAAAAUUCCUCCUACCCGCGGCAAGACGGAAAGACCCCGUGGACCUUUACUACAGCUUGACACUGCUACUUGGAUAAGAAUGUGCAGGAUAGGUGGGAGGCUUUGAGUAUAUGACGCCAGUUGUAUAUGAGCCAUUGUUGAGAUACCACUCUUUCUUAUUUGGGUAGCUAACCAGCUUGAGUUAUCCUCAAGUGGGACAAUGUCUGGUGGGUAGUUUGACUGGGGCGGUCGCCUCCCAAAUAAUAACGGAGGCUUACAAAGGUUGGCUCAGAACGGUUGGAAAUCGUUCGUAGAGUAUAAAGGUAUAAGCCAGCUUAACUGCAAGACAUACAAGUCAAGCAGAGACGAAAGUCGGUCUUAGUGAUCCGGUGGUUCUGUGUGGAAGGGCCAUCGCUCAAAGGAUAAAAGGUACCCCGGGGAUAACAGGCUGAUCUCCCCCAAGAGCUCACAUCGACGGGGAGGUUUGGCACCUCGAUGUCGGCUCAUCGCAUCCUGGGGCUGGAGCAGGUCCCAAGGGUAUGGCUGUUCGCCAUUUAAAGCGGUACGCGAGCUGGGUUCAGAACGUCGUGAGACAGUUCGGUCCCUAUCUGCCGUGGGCGUAAGAAGAUUGAAGAGAUUUGACCCUAGUACGAGAGGACCGGGUUGAACAAACCACUGGUGUAGCUGUUGUUCUGCCAAGAGCAUCGCAGCGUAGCUAAGUUUGGAAAGGAUAAACGCUGAAAGCAUCUAAGCGUGAAGCCAACUCUAAGAUGAAUCUUCUCUAAGCUCUCUAGAAGACUACUAGUUUGAUAGGCUGGGUGUGUAAUGGAUGAAAGUCCUUUAGCUGACCAGUACUAAUAGAGCGUUUGGCUUAUCUUUAAUAAAGCAU
This 2460-nucleotide ribosomal RNA is filed under the name Campylobacter jejuni. Its description in RNAcentral is "partial 23S ribosomal RNA". It matches the Rfam family "Bacterial large subunit ribosomal RNA", at positions 621 to 2925 of the family's 2925-position model. Lineage: Bacteria; Pseudomonadati; Campylobacterota; Epsilonproteobacteria; Campylobacterales; Campylobacteraceae. The record is from RNAcentral.